This 497-nucleotide ribosomal RNA is filed under the name uncultured bacterium. RNAcentral's name for it is "partial 16S ribosomal RNA". It matches the Rfam family "Bacterial small subunit ribosomal RNA", at positions 28 to 507 of the family's 1533-position model. The record is from RNAcentral.
GAUGAACGCUGGCGGCGUGCCUAAUACAUGCAAGUAGAACGCUGAAGCUUGGUGCUUGCACCGAGCGGAUGAGUUGCGAACGGGUGAGUAACGCGUAGGUAACCUGCCUGGUAGCGGGGGAUAACUAUUGGAAACGAUAGCUAAUACCGCAUAACAGUAGAUAUUGCAUGAUAUCUGCUUGAAAGGUGCAAAUGCAUCACUACCAGAUGGACCUGCGUUGUAUUAGCUAGUUGGUGAGGUAACGGCUCACCAAGGCGACGAUACAUAGCCGACCUGAGAGGGUGAUCGGCCACACUGGGACGGAGACACGGCCCAGACUCCUACGGGAGGCAGCAGUAGGGAAACUUCGGCAAUGGGGGGAACCCUGACCGAGCAACGCCGCGUGAGUGAAGAAGGUUGUCGGAUCGUAAAGCUCGGUUGUAAGAGAAGAACGAGUGUGAGAGUGGAAAGUUCACACUGUGACGGUAUCUUACCAGAAAGGGACGGCUAACUACGUG